Long non-coding RNA from Suricata suricatta (meerkat), 669 nucleotides. RefSeq lists it as uncharacterized. The record is from RefSeq and is a predicted model, not a curated record. The transcript has 2 exons. NCBI's taxonomy places the organism in Eukaryota, Metazoa, Chordata, Mammalia, Carnivora, Herpestidae.
GAAUCCAGUGAAGAAAGUCCAUGAAAACUGAGAGGUGCUGUGAUUUGAUUUACAACCGUAAGCUAACACUGUGGCCGUGGUUGGAAGGGUAGCCCCCAAGCCCUCCUGGGCAUGGCCUCCCCUGAUUAGGAACGCUUCUCCACCAGCUGAUGAGAUGAGUCAGUCAUACUCCAUAGACAGUUGCCUGCACGGACGUCGUCUUGCCUUCCGGCUCGUCCACAGCUCGCCUCCGUCACUGCCCUUAACACAUUCUGGUAUUGUCAGCAGUUUCAAGUUUUGCUGAAACAUCGGGGUCAUCUCAUAUUCUGCCUCAAGCCUGUCAAGUUUGAAGUCUGCAGAUCUCUGGCCACAAUUAGGCAUUUAAUUAAUGUUGUUGUAGAUGUCUUUCCUGUUUGAGUAAGGACUAAGCACGUCAGUGUCUUCACUGCAGAGGCGUGUGUACGGAACUGCCCUCUACAUCUGACCUUUCGGACAAGGCCACCAUGUCACUUCCUAAAUGUGUUUUCUCAUCUUUCUCAAUACUGACACACCGGUCAACCUGCCCAAUGAGACCAUAACCUCAUUUAUGGGAGAAAAUGUAAAGGACCCAUUUCUUGACUUGUCUCUAUUGUCACAAGUUGCUUUAAUUGUCACAAGUUGCUUCGAAAAACUUUAAAAAAAGUAGUAAUA